This is a long non-coding RNA of Saccostrea cuccullata (small rock oyster), 340 nucleotides long. RefSeq lists it as uncharacterized. The transcript has 2 exons. Lineage: Eukaryota; Metazoa; Mollusca; Bivalvia; Ostreida; Ostreidae. The record is from RefSeq and is a predicted model, not a curated record.
UUACUCUGAUCUACCUCUGGGUAUUAAGGAACCAAAGGUGUAGAUUUGCAGAAAACUGUGGAAGCUGGAUACUUUAUUUCAAAAGUGCUAGGACGUAGUACUCAAUCUAAAGUUGGACAAGCAAUGAAGUCAUCAUUAUAAGAAGAGAAAACACGAUUUGAUUAUUUUCUUUGUGUGGCUACACCUAGGGGAUUCAUCAUCUGAAUUGUACUUACAUCUGAAGAAGAAUAUAAUGCAUAAAGAACUGUUUAAAACAGUUUUGUGUCCAUAAUGCUUUCACUUACUGUAAAUGUAUUAUAUUUUGUGUGUACAAUAUUUGGCAUAAAAUUAUUCACUUUUA